GAUGAAGAACGUAGCGAAAUGCGAUAAGUAAUGUGAAUUGCAGAAUUCAGUGAAUCAUCGAAUCUUUGAACGCACCUUGCGCUCCUUGGCAUUCCGAGGAGCAUGCCUGUUUGAGCGUCGUUGAAUUCUCAGAAUCCUACGAAGGCUGUAGUGUAGACUGGUACUACCGUCUUACUACUGGUCCUCCACGUGGGGUGUGGAUUGUGGAGGAUGCAUUUCUGCCCGCUUUGCUUCUCUGAAACGCAUUGCCGCUACGGCUGUGGUCACGAACCUGCCGCCGGUAUGAUACACAUACAUGUCUUACCUGCCGCAGAGCCGUGCCAGCCAGGCCAUACAAGACAAAUUCUCUAACGAUUUGACCUCAAAUCAGGCAGGACUACCCGCUGAACUUAAGCAUAUCAAUAAGCGGAGGA
RNAcentral lists this unclassified non-coding RNA (413 nucleotides) under soil metagenome. RNAcentral describes it as "partial contains 5.8S ribosomal RNA, internal transcribed spacer 2, and large subunit ribosomal RNA". The stretch from base 1 to 120 matches the Rfam family "5.8S ribosomal RNA", at positions 35 to 154 of the family's 154-position model. The record is from RNAcentral.